GAUGAACGCUAGCGGCAGGCCUAAUACAUGCAAGUCGAGGGGUAGAAGAGGCUUGCUUCUUUGAGACCGGCGCACGGGUGCGUAACGCGUAUGCAACCUACCUUCAUCUGGGGGAUAGCCCGGAGAAAUCCGGAUUAAUACCGCAUAAAAUCACAGGAUGGCAUUAUCCAAUGAUCAAACAUUUAUGGGAUGGAGAUGGGCAUGCGUGUCAUUAGCUAGUUGGCGGGGUAACGGCCCACCAAGGCGACGAUGACUAGGGGAUCUGAGAGGAUGGCCCCCCACACUGGUACUGAGACACGGACCAGACUCCUACGGGAGGCAGCAGUAAGGAAUAUUGGUCAAUGGAGGCAACUCUGAACCAGCCAUGCCGCGUGCAGGAAGACUGCCCUAUGGGUUGUAAACUGCUUUUAUUCGGGAAUAAACCUUAUUACGUGUAAUAAGCUGAAUGUACCGAAGGAAUAAGGAUCGGCUAACUCCGUGCCAGCCGCCGCGGUAA
This 496-nucleotide ribosomal RNA is filed under the name uncultured bacterium. RNAcentral describes it as "partial 16S ribosomal RNA". It matches the Rfam family "Bacterial small subunit ribosomal RNA", at positions 28 to 523 of the family's 1533-position model. The record is from RNAcentral.